Molecule: transfer RNA, 81 nt
Filed under: Paecilomyces variotii No. 5
Lineage: Eukaryota; Fungi; Ascomycota; Eurotiomycetes; Eurotiales; Thermoascaceae
Description: Byssochlamys spectabilis No. 5 tRNA
Rfam family: tRNA
About the family: Transfer RNA (tRNA) molecules are approximately 80 nucleotides in length. Their secondary structure includes four short double-helical elements and three loops (D, anti-codon, and T loops). Further hydrogen bonds mediate the characteristic L-shaped molecular structure. tRNAs have two regions of fundamental functional importance: the anti-codon, which is responsible for specific mRNA codon recognition, and the 3' end, to which the tRNAs corresponding amino acid is attached (by aminoacyl-tRNA synthetases). tRNAs cope with the degeneracy of the genetic code in two manners: having more than one tRNA (with a specific anti-codon) for a particular amino acid; and 'wobble' base-pairing, i.e. permitting non-standard base-pairing at the 3rd anti-codon position.
Source: Rfam by way of RNAcentral
GGCCAACUGGCCUAGUGGAUAAGGCAUCCGUUUCCGGUUCUCGCUUGCGGAAGAUCGCAGGUUCGAAUCCUGCGUUGGUCG